CAGAACGGCCCCCGGGACAGAGCGACGCGGAACCCCGGGCGCCUGGGUCCCCAGCAUGAUCCUCGGGCACGCUGACUUUCUCCAAGGAGCUGCCCAAGUCCCUGGCGGGCGGCCUGCUCCCCAGCCCCCUGGCGGUGGCUGCAGUGAUGGCAGCGGCAGCAGGCUCGCCGCUGUCCCUGCGCCCGGCUCCAGCCGCACCUCUUCUCCAGGGACCGCCGAUCACUCACCCUCUGCUUCACCCGGCCCCCGGACCCAUCCGAACUGCGCACGGACCCAUCCUCUUCUCCCCGUACUGACCUCAACCCUGAACCCCUCCCAUUCAACUCCCCACCUCCAGCCGGGACCCAGGCGUCCGGGCUCCCAGCCCGCCCCUCCUCCCGGCACUCCCUAAAUGAUCUCUCCUUCCCCCCCCCCACCCCGAGAUACGGGGUUCCAGGAAAGGGGAGGGGUAGCGGGGGAGGGGGGCUUCAGAAGGGGGGGAACACCCCAGAUCUCAGGGAACCCCGCCCCCUGCCUUUCCCUCUCCCCUAGAAAAGGGGGGGCCGUCUCACCCCCGAGCCCCCUUGGAGACACCCCCCCUCCCAAAAGCCAUGUCCAUCCAGCCCUUCCCCCCAAACCUAGCACAAAACGGGGUUCACAAGCCAUGGUCGGGGUCCGGGGGGGACAGAAAUGGAUUUUCUUGGCAAUAAGCGGACUCUGGGACUCCGGCUCCCUACCCCAAACUGAAGCGCUUCCGUGAACACCCCCGUCCUCCGUAGGGGGAGGGGAGCAGGCGGGAUCCUGGGUCCCUCAUAAGCACUUUGGUUUUACCGCCUGCAACCUCACUGUGCCCGCCCCGCACCAUGCCCUAGCCCCAGGUCUAGCCGGGCCCAUUGCAGGGGGCAGCACUUGGGGGCAUCUCCGGCACUUGGGUGGGACCAAGGAGAUGCCACCAUAGACCUUUCCCUCGCCUUCUUCCUCCCUAGUCCGGGUUCCAUUCUUUUCACCAGCACCCAUCGCCCAAGGGGUACCGAGGGGGGCAAGGGGUGUCCAGUCCAAGCCCACCCCCGCCUCGCCUUCCGCAAAACUGUGAGCAAAAAGCAAUAGAAGCCUCGCCCCCGCCCUUCCCCUUCGCAGGAUUCGCCGAGUCUGUAGCCUCCCCGAUCCAAGUUCCUAGACCUCAUGGCUGUCCCCUCCCACCAGUCACCUCCACUGCACAACUCGGGCGGGGGUGUGACACCUCUCCCCCACCCCCGACUCCGUGGUUUCCGUAUCGUCAACCCUUCAGCCGCCGACCCGGGAGGGGUCUGGCCUACACUGGUCUUCCCCUUCCCAUCAACUCUUUCUGCUUGACAAUGUAGCAACCCAGGCCCCCCACCCACGGUCCUCCCCUUUUUCCUCUCCCUGACAAUAAAGUCUGAAUUUGUUCUGCCCUCC
Molecule: long non-coding RNA, 1416 nt
Filed under: Homo sapiens (human)
Lineage: Eukaryota; Metazoa; Chordata; Mammalia; Primates; Hominidae
Description: non-protein coding lnc-ZNF385A-1:1
Source: RNAcentral